GGAGCGAACUUCUCGAUCGUGUUC
Molecule: small RNA, 24 nt
Filed under: Arabidopsis thaliana (thale cress)
Lineage: Eukaryota; Viridiplantae; Streptophyta; Magnoliopsida; Brassicales; Brassicaceae
Source: RNAcentral